AUGGCAACUUACAAGCCAAGGAACAUCCUGAUUACUGGGGCUGCUGGGUUUAUUGCAUCUCAUGUUACAAACAGACUCAUUCGGAACUACCCGAGUUACAAGAUUGUCGCUCUCGACAAGCUCGAUUACUGCUCGAACUUAAAAAACCUUCAUCCAUCUAAGUCAUCUCCGAACUUUAAGUUUGUGGAAGGGGACAUUGGUAGUGCUGAUCUUGUUAAUUACCUCCUCUUUACGGAGUCUAUCGACACGAUAAUGCAUUUUGCGGCCCAAACUCAUGUCGAUAACUCGUUCGGGAAUAGCUUUGAGUUCACUAAAAACAAUAUCUAUGGCACUCAUGUCUUGCUUGAAGCUUGCAAAGUCACUGGUCAAAUCAGGAGGUUCAUCCAUGUGAGUACUGAUGAGGUUUACGGGGAAACAGAUGAGGAUGCUGUUGUGGGAAACCAUGAGGCUUCUCAACUUCUCCCGUCGAACCCGUACUCCGCUACAAAAGCCGGUGCUGAAAUGCUUGUGAUGGCAUAUGGUAGAUCAUAUGGCUUGCCUGUGAUAACGACUCGGGGAAACAACGUUUACGGCCCGAACCAGUUCCCUGAGAAACUAAUUCCGAAGUUCAUCCUCUUAGCGAUGAGGGGAAUGGUUCUUCCAAUUCACGGGGACGGUUCGAAUGUGAGGAGUUAUUUGUAUUGUGAGGAUGUGGCUGAGGCCUUUGAAGUCAUACUUCAUAAGGGAGAAGUUGGACAUGUUUAUAACAUCGGGACAAAGAAAGAAAGGAGAGUGAUCGAUGUAGCCAAAGAUAUAUGCAAACUAUUCUUGAUGGAUCCAGAGAAAAGUAUUGAGUUUGUCGAGAAUCGACCAUUCAAUGACCAAAGGUAUUUUCUCGACGAUCAGAAACUAAAGAACUUGGGAUGGUCCGAACGAGUCAUAUGGGAAGAGGGGCUGAAAAAGACAAUAGAUUGGUACACCAAACAUCCUAAUUGGUGGGGUGAUGUCUCCGGUGCAUUGCUCCCUCACCCGAGAAUGCUGAUGAUACCGGGCGGACGGCACUUUGAUUUCGAAGAACUGAACCGUAUGUCACACGUAAAUGGUCCUAAAUUGCCAAAUGGCAAAUCCAAACUUUAAAUGCAAUGGUUCUCCUUCAAAACCAUCACUACGUCCACCAUUGAUCUCUGUUGAUCAAGCCAUGAAAGCACAUCUUCUAAUUAUGGUGAUCAAUUUUCACGACUGCAGAUAA
Gossypium raimondii (Peruvian cotton) is the source of this 1228-nucleotide RNA transcript. It is a transcript of the gene named trifunctional UDP-glucose 4,6-dehydratase/UDP-4-keto-6-deoxy-D-glucose 3,5-epimerase/UDP-4-keto-L-rhamnose-reductase RHM1, with no coding region annotated. The transcript has a single exon. The record is from RefSeq and is a predicted model, not a curated record. Lineage: Eukaryota; Viridiplantae; Streptophyta; Magnoliopsida; Malvales; Malvaceae.